UACGGCCACAUCACAGUGAAACGCCGUUUCCCGUACAAUCACCGAAGUUAAGCAACGUUGAGUCUGGUCAGUACCUCGAUGGGGGUCCGCUUGUGGA
This is a non-coding RNA of Acanthosepion pharaonis, 97 nucleotides long. The record is from the annotation of a GenBank genome assembly. NCBI's taxonomy places the organism in Eukaryota, Metazoa, Mollusca, Cephalopoda, Sepiida, Sepiidae.